GUCGCUUGUUCCACUGCACAUGGCCCGAGAUCAACAAGCUUUUUGUCCGCUGCUUCCAGAGCCUGUUGCUGUUUGUGAGCCUCCUGCCAGCGGCAGCUUGCGGUUGCAGCGAGACGGGCCCUGAGCCUCCAUCGACAGACUGUCAUCGAGGGGGAGGCGGACGCUCUGCCGCUAAGUCACCAAAAGUGAUGCGUCAAAGUCCCGAUAAACAACACUGUAAAAAAACUGUGAUCCAGCUGAGAAGCAACAUGGACGCCACACCUGGUUCACACCUGGCGGCUCCUCCAGUCUGCAGCGUUUCCCAAACCAAGAACAGACGGUGUAAAGAGUGACUUAUUGGAUUGGAUCCCACCCAGCAGUGACUUAUACGCUCAACCUAUAUGUCACAGAUGGCUGCUGAGACCUAUACGCUGCAGCGCAGUAAUGACCCACCCACCGCCGGCUGACGGCCCCUUAGCGCCCGCUCGGGCCCUUCACCAGGAGUCCUGUCAGCGCGGAGGAAGCGGGGGACGCGCCGCGCCCAGACGCCGCACAGGCAGAACCCAGAGCGGCACCUACGGCCCAAACAGCAGCAGCAGCAGCGGCGGCGGCCGCUGACUCACUGUUUGCCUGCAAAGCCAUCUCUGGGAGGAUUAGGUUCAAAACCGCAACAGUAAUGAUCAGUUUGCAUCAAAGACGUCUCCAGAGCGAAAAACAACACGCCGGCACGUCGCUGCUUGGAGCCCCGGGUGGGUUCAACGGGCCUCGUGCAGCUAUUAGCACACCUUCACCAUGACGCAGCAAAGCAGCGAGUCUGAUCUACUCAUACGAUCCAAAAACAUGGAUCAUAUCAACAAGAGCAAUUCAUAAAUGUUUUUUUCCUAAUAGGUUAUAAAUGAUCAAAGUUUUGAAGCAAAAGCACAUCAUGCUCAGUCAGUGGUCUAGUUAGUGAUCCCAUGAUCCCCCUCAUUCUCUUUCUCUGCCUGUUCCUAUCAGACGCCUUUAAUCUCUGCUAAGACAGUCACGUCCAGAUCUGUCGUCUGCGGUGCCGACUCUGCUGAAACGCAACCUGCCAACUGCUCUCCUUCAUUACCUCGGCAGAGGAGCACACGGCGCGGUAAUCCCUGCUGGGAGGC
This 1115-nucleotide long non-coding RNA is filed under the name Betta splendens (Siamese fighting fish). Its description in RNAcentral is "lncRNA (ENSBSLG00000018870.1)". Lineage: Eukaryota; Metazoa; Chordata; Actinopteri; Anabantiformes; Osphronemidae. The record is from RNAcentral.